Small nucleolar RNA from Dipodomys ordii (Ord's kangaroo rat), 132 nucleotides. The record is from Ensembl. Lineage: Eukaryota; Metazoa; Chordata; Mammalia; Rodentia; Heteromyidae.
ACUCUCUCAUUCUGCAUGGUCACACUAAGCCUCAUCCGUGUGACUUUCGUACAGGGAGAGAUAGAAAAGAGCUCCUCAGGACUCUGGGGUGGCCUGCCUGUGGCCUCUCUUUCCUGUUGGAGCACAACAGGU